GCGUAUAAAAUGAAUUCACUAAUUGGGAAAUUUUUUUUAAUAGCGUGAAAAUUCACUAAAAUGGGUAUAAAGGAGUGUAGAAUGUGAUUUUAGAAAAAUUUUUGUUGAAGUGUCUCCAGACUUUUUUUUUAUGGAUCUUUCACGUUCUUUUCGUCUGCACCUAGACCGUAUACAAUUUUUUUUCUUUUCAAUUUUUUUUCUUUUCAAUUUUUUUUGAUUUUUUU
This 224-nucleotide long non-coding RNA is filed under the name Gossypium raimondii (Peruvian cotton). RNAcentral's name for it is "long non-coding RNA (GRAI_LNC008338)". Lineage: Eukaryota; Viridiplantae; Streptophyta; Magnoliopsida; Malvales; Malvaceae. The record is from RNAcentral.